RNAcentral lists this non-coding RNA (28 nucleotides) under Rattus norvegicus (Norway rat). The record is from RNAcentral. Lineage: Eukaryota; Metazoa; Chordata; Mammalia; Rodentia; Muridae.
UCCUUAGAGGAAAUGAGGCAAAUGUAAU